GGCUUAACACAUGCAAGUCGAGCGUGAAGCCACCUUCGGGCGGUGGAAAGCGGCGGACGGGUGAGUAACGCGUGGGAACCUACCCUUUGGUUCGGAAUAACUUGGGGAAACUUAAGCUAAUACCGGAUACGCCCCGUAAGGGGGAAAGAUUUAUUGCCGAGGGAUGGGCCCGCGUUGGAUUAGGUAGUUGGUAGGGUAACGGCCUACCAAGCCUACGAUCCAUAGCUGUUCUUAGAGGAAGACCAGCCACACUGGGACUGAGACACGGCCCAGACUCCUACGGGAGGCAGCAGUGGGGAAUCUUGGACAAUGGGGGAAACCCUGAUCCAGCCAUGCCGCGUGAAUGAAGAAGGCCUUAGGGUUGUAAAAUUC
This 372-nucleotide ribosomal RNA is filed under the name uncultured organism. RNAcentral describes it as "bacterial SSU rRNA". It matches the Rfam family "Bacterial small subunit ribosomal RNA", at positions 45 to 433 of the family's 1533-position model. The record is from RNAcentral.